Molecule: ribosomal RNA, 411 nt
Filed under: Symploce pallens
Lineage: Eukaryota; Metazoa; Arthropoda; Insecta; Blattodea; Blattellidae
Description: partial 16S ribosomal RNA
Source: RNAcentral
UUACGCUGUUAUCCCUAAGGUAAUUUAGACUUAUAAUCAUUAAUAAUGGAUCAAAUAAAUAUAAAUCAAUAUACAACAAAAGAAAGAGUUAAUUUUAUCUUCCCAUCACCCCAACAAAAUAAUUAAAAACAUAAAAUAAUUUAUCAAACCAAAAAUAAAUCAAUAAUUAUUAAACUCUAUAGGGUCUUCUCGUCCCAUAAAAACAUUUAAGCUUUUUUACUUAAUAAUUAAAUUCAACAUAAAAAAAUAAGACAGUAUAUAUCUCGUCCAACCUUUCAUUCCAGCCUUCAAUUAAAAGACUAAUGAUUAUGCUACCUUUGCACGGUCAAAUUACCGCGGCCCUUCAAUAAUAAUCAGUGGGCAGGUUAUACUUCUCAUAUAAACAGAAGAGAUGUUUUUGUUAAACAGGCG